GAUGAAGAACGUAGCGAAAUGCGAUAAGUAGUGUGAAUUGCAGAAUUCAGUGAAUCAUCGAAUCUUUGAACGCACAUUGCGCCCUUUGGUAUUCCAGAGGGCAUGCCUGUUCGAGCGUCAUUUGUACCCUCAAGCUUUGCUUGGUGUUGGGCGUCUUGUCUCUAGCUUUGCUGGAGACUCGCCUUAAAGUAAUUGGCAGCCGGCCUACUGGUUUCGGAGCGCAGCACAAGUCGCACUCUCUAUCAGCAAAGGUCUAGCAUCCAUUAAGCCUUUUUUUCAACUUUUGACCUCGGAUCAGGUAGGGAUACCCGCUGAACUUAAGCAUAUCAAUAAGCGGAGGA
Molecule: unclassified non-coding RNA, 341 nt
Filed under: soil metagenome
Description: partial contains 5.8S ribosomal RNA, internal transcribed spacer 2, and large subunit ribosomal RNA
Rfam family: 5.8S ribosomal RNA (bases 1-120)
Source: RNAcentral